This 422-nucleotide ribosomal RNA is filed under the name uncultured bacterium. Its description in RNAcentral is "bacterial SSU rRNA". It matches the Rfam family "Bacterial small subunit ribosomal RNA", at positions 355 to 774 of the family's 1533-position model. The record is from RNAcentral.
UGGGGAAUAUUGGUCAAUGGGCGGGAGCCUGAACCAGCCAAGUAGCGUGAAGGAUGAAGGUUCUAUGGAUUGUAAACUUCUUUUACAGGGGAAUAAAGUGCACCACGUGUGGUGUUUUGUAUGUACCCUAUGAAUAAGGACCGGCUAACUCCGUGCCAGCAGCCGUGGUAAUACGGAGGAUCCGAGCGUUAUCCGGAUUUAUUGGGUUUAAAGGGAGCGUAGGCGGGAAGGUAAGUUGGGUGUGAAAACUAUUGGCUCAACCAAUAGAUUGCACUCAAAACUACUUUUCUUGAGUGAAGUAGAGGCAGGCGGAAUUCCUAGUGUAGCGGUGAAAUGCGUAGAUAUUAGGAGGAACACCAGUGGCGAAGGCGACUUACUGGACUGUAACUGACGUUGAGGCUCGAAAGCGUGGGGAGCAAACA